Molecule: ribosomal RNA, 432 nt
Filed under: Triticum aestivum (bread wheat)
Lineage: Eukaryota; Viridiplantae; Streptophyta; Magnoliopsida; Poales; Poaceae
Description: partial small subunit ribosomal RNA
Source: RNAcentral
AUGGCGAAAUGUGUCUGGUCACUCUUGGAGGAGGAUCUGGUCGAGAACGUCAUCGCAUGUAACAUCCCUGAUGCAAAACUUUGGCUAUUGGAGAUUAUGGACUCAACUAAGGAGGAAGAGUUUCUGAAAAUUUUGGUGAUUUUAUGGGCCAUUUGGUGGGUUCGGCGGAAAGCCAUUCACGAACAAGAAUACCAAUAUGCGCUUUCUACAUACUAUUUUAUUGAGAAAUAUUUGAAUGAUCUCGUUUUGAUCCCGGCCAAGGCAGGCAGGCUACCUGUUGUUGUUCAAGCUAGAACGGACUUGGGUAGUAGGAGGACUUGGGUACCCCCUGUACAGGGGUGUGCUAAAUUGAUGGUGGACGCAGCAGUUUCAAAAAAUCAUGAAAAGGGAGCCUAUGCAAUUGUUUGCAGGGACGAGAAAGGUGUUUACUAA